ACUCAAUAGAUACCCCGGUAGUCCACGCCCUAAACGAUGUCUACUAGUUGUCGGGUCUUAAUUGACUGGUAAACGCAGCUAAACGCGUGAAGUAGACCGCCUGGGGAGUACGGUCGCAAGAUUAAAACUCAAAGGAAUUGACGGGGACCCGCACAAGCGGUGGAUGAUGUGGAUUAAUUCGAUGCAACGCGAAAAACCUUACCUACCCUUGACAUGGAUGGAAUCCCUGAGAGAUUGGGGAGUGCCCGAAAGGGAACCAUUACACAGGUGCUGCAUGGCUGUCGUCAGCUCAUGUCGUGAGAUGUUGGGUUAAGUCCCGCAACGAGCGCAACCCUUGUCAUUAGUUGCUACGAAAGGGCACUCUAAUGAGACUGCCGGUGACAAACCGGAGGAAGGUGGGGAUGACGUCAAGUCCUCAUGGCCCUUAUGGGUAGGGCUU
Molecule: ribosomal RNA, 439 nt
Filed under: uncultured bacterium
Lineage: Bacteria
Description: bacterial SSU rRNA
Rfam family: Bacterial small subunit ribosomal RNA
Source: RNAcentral